UACAGAGGUCUUGAGCGUUGUUCGGAUUCAUUGGGCGUAAAGGGCGCGUAGGCGGCGGGGCAAGUCGGGUGUGAAAUCUCAGAGCUCAGCUCUGAAACUGCACUCGAUACUGCUUUGCUUGAGGACUGGAGAGGAGAUUGGAAUUCACGGUGUAGCAGUGAAAUGCGUAGAUAUCGUGAGGAAGACCAGUGGCGAAGGCGGAUCUCUGGACAGUUCCUGGCGCUGAGGCGCGAAGGCCAGGGGAGCAAACGGG
Molecule: ribosomal RNA, 253 nt
Filed under: uncultured bacterium
Lineage: Bacteria
Description: partial 16S ribosomal RNA
Rfam family: Bacterial small subunit ribosomal RNA
Source: RNAcentral